GCAUAAUAAAUCGCCCUUUAAUUGGGGGCUAGUAUGAACGGAUAAACGAAGGCUAAACUGUCUCAACUAUAAAAAUAAAAAUUGGCCCUUAGGUGAAAAGACCUAAAUUUCCCUUUUGAGAGUUCACAUUGACAAAGGAUUUUGACACCUCGAUGUUGGCUUAGGGUCUCCGGAGGGUCAGCAGAAGCCCUCUAUGGUAGGUUUGUUCAACCUUUAAAACCCU
Molecule: ribosomal RNA, 223 nt
Filed under: Terebellides sp. DZMB-HH 30060_2
Lineage: Eukaryota; Metazoa; Annelida; Polychaeta; Terebellida; Trichobranchidae
Description: partial 16S ribosomal RNA
Rfam family: Archaeal large subunit ribosomal RNA
Source: RNAcentral